Molecule: ribosomal RNA, 330 nt
Filed under: Blaps bifurcata strauchi
Lineage: Eukaryota; Metazoa; Arthropoda; Insecta; Coleoptera; Tenebrionidae
Description: partial 16S ribosomal RNA
Source: RNAcentral
AAUUAGGAGCUGGAAUGAAUGGUUUGAUGAAAAAUUAACUGUCUCAAUUUAAUUGUUAUAGAAUUUUAUUUUUGAGUGAAAAAGCUUAAAUUUUUUAGGAAGACGAGAAGACCCUAUAGAGUUUUAUUUAUUGGAAAUUGUUAAUUUUAUGGUUUAAGUAUUUUUAAUUUUUUAAUAAAUUUUGUUGGGGUGAUGGGAAAAUUUUGCUAACUUUUUCUAAUUUUUACACUAAUUGGUGAAUUUAUGAUCCUUUUUUAGAUUAUAAGAUUAAAUUACCUUAGGGAUAACAGCGUGAUUUUUUUUGAAAGUUCUUAUUGAUAAAAAAGUUUG